AAAUCUGCGAGGCUACGAACAGAAACAUCCUACAAGGCCGGAUCAGCGGGCGAGCAAGCACAACAUUGCGAAGCCCAAUGCCUAUCGGUUGAUCAGGUAAAGGAUGAGCUUGUGCAGAGGAA
Non-coding RNA from Pirellula sp. SH-Sr6A, 122 nucleotides. NCBI's taxonomy places the organism in Bacteria, Pseudomonadati, Planctomycetota, Planctomycetia, Pirellulales, Pirellulaceae. The record is from Rfam.